Esox lucius (northern pike) is the source of this 735-nucleotide long non-coding RNA. RefSeq lists it as uncharacterized. NCBI's taxonomy places the organism in Eukaryota, Metazoa, Chordata, Actinopteri, Esociformes, Esocidae. The record is from RefSeq and is a predicted model, not a curated record. The transcript has 3 exons.
AGUUAGGAGGCCCGGCCUCCCGUGGUCCGGGGGAAAUGGAAGGUGAGUCUUCCUCCACAACAACCACACGCCCCGCCGACUGGGGAGACCGGCCAGCCAUGUUUGCUUACGUCUAAUCUGUUUUGGCAACCCGUGUGCAUUUGCGCGUGCAUGUGCGCGUGCGCGUGCGUGCAUUUGAGUGUGUGUGAUUCUUUAUCUCUGUCCCAGGAGUCUCUACGGUGUAGAACAUGUGUUCUGUGUCCAUCGCCACCCCACGCUGCUGCAUGUGUUUCAGUCUGGCUUCCUGCAGGUGUCUGCUCAGACUGCAGUCAGUGCCGAAAUGCAGGCGCUGGUAAAUUUACAGCCCCUGGCUGCAGCUGGUCAUGUUUCAGAAUCAUGGCGUGUUCUCGUCUACCUGUCUGCUAAAGCGCUUCCACCCUUCCACAUGGCCGAGUUCCCGCACCGGACAGGUUGCUGCAGUAUAUUAGCGAGUUGUUGACUGGCCGGUGAAGAGCACAUUUGUCAACAUAUUAGAGUGUGUCAACACUUGAACAUCAGACCGUCAGGCCACCCAGCCAAUCCUCCGACACAGACUGACAUCAGGCUUCAGUGCAUUAAACGUGAGGUCCUGCAAUAACAACUUGAACUUGAAACGGCAAGGUGGGCAUCUGACUAGUGUCCAAAAAGUCCCUGCUUCUAAUCCCACUACAGCCAAGUUGCCAGAUCGUCUUGUCCCGUACAGUCGUUUCCAGCGGU